Ornithodoros turicata is the source of this 435-nucleotide long non-coding RNA. RefSeq lists it as uncharacterized. NCBI's taxonomy places the organism in Eukaryota, Metazoa, Arthropoda, Arachnida, Ixodida, Argasidae. The transcript is spliced from 2 exons. The record is from RefSeq and is a predicted model, not a curated record.
GUAAUGCACUGUGUUUGUGUCUGCAUUGUCCAGACUCAGGCUUUGCCCAUGAUGGAGCUGGACUGAACACAACUAAGAUGUAAUGAUUGGCACGACGGACCAAUGACGGCCUAGGAGCUAGCAGGGACUGCGGAGUGAACCUUGCUUAGGAACCACUUCAUGUAGAGUCCUCAACAGGAGAGUCCACAGCAUUUGCUUUGUCAUCAUCCUUUUCUUUACUGUGGCUACUGUAAUACUUGUCGGAAUAGUCAACAUGAUGGUAAGCAUGUCGUUCAGGGUCAUCGAUAGGAAGUUCCUCAUCGUGGUCUUGCUCAAAGUCAGUCAGCUCUUUAGGGUAUGGGCACUGAAGACACCUUGUAUAGAAAGAUACUCCUAAUUGUCACUACCUGAUUGCAAUGGACAUAAUUUACAAUAAAUAACUUCCUCAAAACAAAA